UCUGUGGCUCAGUGGUAGAACAUCUACAUAGUACCCAGAAGGUCCCAGGUUCAAUCCCUGGUAUCUGCA
Molecule: transfer RNA, 69 nt
Filed under: Sphaerodactylus townsendi
Lineage: Eukaryota; Metazoa; Chordata; Lepidosauria; Squamata; Sphaerodactylidae
Description: tRNA-Thr
Source: RNAcentral